AGGGAAACAGAUAAGCUUGUGAAUUCAGUCUAAAAUAAAUGCAGUUCUUUUUUUUUCUUUUUCUUUUUGAAGAUGAAAUGAAUUGCUGUUAUAAAACUAGAGAGGGUAGAAUUAUAAAAAAUCAAGACCUUGGCACAUGGAGGAAUAUAAUGAUGUUGUGAUGUUUCCUAUUGCAUUGCUGUGUGAAUGCAUCCUAAGUGAGCAUUCUCUGGGGCCCUGGUUCAGCAGUAGGACUCAUGCUUCACAUAUAUAAGGUCUCAGGUCCAAUCCUGGACACCACCAGUUCCAGGAGCUCUGGCAGGAAAACUGGCAGAGACCCCUAGCUGAGACUUCAGAGAUUCAGUGCCAGAGUAGGUGGUGAUCCUGGUCUAGCUAGAUCCAGGUAAAUGUAUGCAGUUUCAUACAUUGGGUGGUGGUGGUGAAUGCCCUCUGUUUUCCCAUCAGCUUCACGAGUUGGCAACAUUAUCAAAUUUAUCAUAAUUAUAUUUGUGGUGUAGUUUAAAUGCAAUUUGAUUGAUUGGAUUACCACAGUUUGUUUUAAGCUGCCUGCAAGUAACAUAAAAUAGGUGGGAUAUAAAUAUUUAACUGCAUAUAUAAGCUACAUGUGGAUAUUAAGUUUUUGGCCAAAAGGCUUUAUUCUCUGGAUGAGCAAUAAUUAUCUGGCACAUUGCUGGAAUGCAACAGUUUUUAAACACACACACACACACACACACACACACACACACACACACACUUACUUUAGAACUAUUUCCAGAGCUGCAUAAUUAGUUAUAAAAUUAAACACAGCUUUAAUUAAGGAGGUUUACCAGGGGCUUUCAUAAUUGCUGUACUAACAGUUUUCUAUCGUACUACACUCACUGAAGCAAUUCCACGAGGAAUAACUUGCACUGGACAAGCUAGCUCAAUAAUAACAACAACAAUUUGAAUUUGCAUAUAUGGUCUUUCAUGGUGCUAUGCAAAUCCUUACUGAGGAAAAUCGCUCACUGAUGCAAUUUAUCCAGGAAUGGGUUUAUUAAUAAAAUAAUCCCUGAAACCUUUUUUUUAGAUAAGAGGAUUUUUAUGAGCGGCUUUGCAAAGUGCCCGGGGGGUGGGGGGUGGGUGGGCGGGCAGGAUAACAUUUGUCCAAUUCCCAGCAACAUGACUAGCUUGUUUGGUUUAUUUGUAUUUAGUUAGAGAUGUGCAGCCUUCUCCAAAAACCUGCAUUAAGGAGCAGGAUGUACUUCAGUGGUAGGCAGUGGCAGAGGAAAAAGAGUGCAGAGUGUCUCAGCAAUACAGUUGGGGGGAAACUUAGUUAUUUUUCUCAGCUAUUUGGAUAUUCUUCUGAUGUUUUGCUUCAUUUGAGAAUGUUGCCAUGAAGUGGCUCCACGUUUUAGCUUUGUAUGAUGUAUAAAGAUAAUGCAACCGUUUCCUGAGAAAUGUCACAAAAUUUCAACAGUAUUUGCAUUUUAACUACUCCCAUUGCCCCGUGAAUCAUCUCCUACAGGUCACACUGUAGGUUCACUCAUAUGCAUGGGCAUAGCCAGGAUUUUUUGGGGGGGAAGAACCUCAGAUUUGUAUAGAGUUAUAUUGCUUUUUAUUGAUGGGGAGCAGCUGCCCCCCUGCCUCCCCUUGGCUAUGCCCAUGCUCAUAUGACAGGGCUACAACAGUCACUAGUUUAAAGGCAGGAAUUUGUAGCAAUAUGUUGGAGUGUGAUUGAUUUCCCUCUUCUGUCAAAGGGAAAGGAGAAGAAUCACACUUCAUAUACUGCUGAAGAUGGCCUCCUUUAAAGCAGCAACACAGUCCCUCACAUUCGCUCAGGAAAUGCUUUGCUUAGCUCUGGCACCUCUAAGGCAAAUACCAAUUGUCAUUCUAAGAAUAAUACCUUUAUUGUCAAUGUACAACCUGUGUACAAUGAAAUUAACCAAGCCUCCCCCCCCCCCACAAACACUCAAAGGAGAAGUUCAAGGUGAGCUUCAGCAUCUCAUUCUAGCACUGAUUAGGAGGGCCCUGUUCCCUCCACAGAGAUACCAUUUCCAGAGCCCCCUAUCACUAGGGAUUCAUUAUUAAACUACUCUGGGGAUUGUAGCUCUGAGAGGGGAAUAGGGGUCUUCUAGCAACUCUCAGCACCUUUAACAAACUACAGCCCAGAAUUCUCUGUGGGAAGUCAUGACUGUUUAAAGCCCUUUAAAUAUAUGGUGUAGAUGUGGCCCGAUUCCGGAGGAGUCCUAAGUCAUGAUGUACAGUACUGAAUAUGUUUCCUUAAGGGUGUUUUGGGGGGGGGAGGGACAUUCGAGGUGGCCCCUAAUAAGUCAUAUAAGUAGCCACGCUUGCAAAAUAAUGCAGCUGAAUUUGCCAAGAAGGUUGCUGUGAGACCAGCCGUCAAUGGCCAAGCAGCAGCUCUCCAUAUGCUUAGUUUAUGAUGCUUGAAGAGAAAAGUCCUUGAACUCCUCUGCCCUUCCUAUCACUGAUGGUGUUUCCCUUUCUGCUUUCACUUUUCAAUAGAAAACUAUUUCCCACACAUGUAAAUAAUUGGCCAUCUCAGCAUUGUUAUUAUCCCCCCACACACACACUUUUUGUUCUAGUCUUUCAGAUCUCCUUGACAUCCAGCCAUUUUGGGAUAACCAGGGAACCACAAGAAAGGGAACACCCAGGCAGGUCUCCGUCAGCUGUUGAGGAGUCAUUUCAGUUGCUGCUGCAGCUUUGCAGAACUGAAAGUUCGACCAAACUGCUGUUAAGCUGCUGGCUGCUGGUACAAUGUGGGAGUUUUGAUCCAUAUAUAUAUUCACUUUAUGGGUAGUUACUUUACACUGGUAUUAUCUUUCUUUCCCCCCAAGCUGACAGUGUGUGUAUCUGAAUGACUGGUACUUCUGGGAAUUCUUUGAAAGGAACGUUAUUAUUCCUCAUUUUAUGGCGCUAUAGGGAAAGGCCUCAGCUCAUUGGCAGAGCACCUCUGCUUUGCACGGAGAAUAUAUCUGGUUCAAUAGCCAGGUAGGGAUGGGAAUGUCUCCUGCAUGGAAACAUGCAGAAGUAUUGUCCGUCAGUGUAGUGUACUGAGGUAGAUAGACCAAUAGUCCAACUCAGUAAAAGCUUCUGUGUUUAUAGAUUCAUAGGACAGUCCACAGAUUCAUAGAAUCAUAGAGUUAGAAGGGACCCUGAAGAUCAUCUAGUCCAACGCAAAUAUGCAGCUGUCCCAUGCAGGGAUCAAUCCUGCAACCUUGGCAUUAUGAGCUCCGUGCUCUAACCAACUGAGCUAGGUAAAGGUACCCCUGACCAUUAGGUCCAGUUGCGGAUGACUCUGAGGUUGUGCGCUCAUCUCGUUCUAUAGGAUGAGGGAGCCGGUGUUUGUCCGCAGACAGCUUCUGGAUCAUGUGGCCAGCAUGACUAAGCUGCUUCUGGCGAACCAGAGCAGCGCAUGGAAAUGCUGUUUACCUUCCCGCCGGAGUGGUACCUAUUUAUCUACUUGCAUUUUGACGUGCUUUCAAACUGCUAGGUGGGCUGGAGCUGGGACUGAGCAACAGGAGCUCACACUGUUGCGGGGAUUCGAACUGCCGACCUUCCGAUCGGCAAGCCCUAGGCUCAGUGGUUUAGACCACAGCGCCAGCUGCGUCCCUAACCAACUAAGCUACACAGGCCUGAAUUUGUUUCCUUCAUCCUCUUCUUGAAUUUGGGAAGGAGAAAGAAUCAGAAUUUUGAUGUAUUCCCCAUUUCAAUUCAUAUAUAUUUUGCAUCAAAACAAAGUUGAGAUUUGGGAGGUUUUACUCACACAAAAAUGUUGUCUGUCUCAUUGCAUGCCUUCCUCAGGUUUAACGUUAAUGAAGUCUGAUGCUGUAUACUAUUUUAUGGUGGAUAUGAGUAGCCUCAUGACCAUGUGUAGAUCUUGGCCAGCUGCAAGGUAACCAAACAGGCACAGGUUUCUUGUCACCAUCUCAUAUUUAAUUCUAACGAUCAGAUUAAUAUCUCAUCCCCUAUGCAUAGAGUAGCCAAUGUGCCGCCCUUCAGAUGUUGUUUCACUACAGCUCCCAUUAUCCUUGAUUAUUGACCAUGUUGACUGGGGCUGUUGUAGUCCAACAACAUCUUCAGAGCACCAUGUUGAUUAUCCCUGAUAUAUAUAUUAUCUUCAAGCCUAUUAUGCAUUUAAUUGAAAUAUAAAUAAAUGGUUUUAGCAAGAAAUUGUGGGCACUGCCUUACCCUUCCCAUUGGUGCUUAGUAGGUCUCUUUAGGAAAACCUGAGGCAUUCUAUCCAGUUCACACUGUCAAUUCAAUGUUCAUUCUGGAAUUGAAACCAAGAAUGAAUUCAUUGUGAGACUCACCUAGAUGCAAUGCAGAACUUACAUCAGAUGCUAUGUGGUUGUCUGCUUGGGAAAGCUCAGCAUUUAUAGAAAUAUCUUCUUAGACCAAUGUGCCUUUCCAAGGUUCUACCCAGUCCCUAAAACAUUGAGGCCUUUUCCCUUGAAUCUGUAUGUAUCCCCAAAAUAUAUACAGUGAGGAUGUUUUGACAUAAGAAACAGGCCUCUUUCAGUACAUGUGGAUUUGUUAUUUUAUUUUUACUAUUUAUUGUGAGAUGAUGGCAACAUGAGAUCAGGAGGUCUCAGCCUCCAUGGAUCCUGAUACUGCCCUCUGCCAUGCCUUAGCUCAUGACAGUAACUCUCCCACUUAUUUAGCUUCUUCUUGCAUGAAAUGGCAGAUUGCUCUGUAACCUAAUGAACCUAAUGAACAUGAUAUGACAUCUGUACGGGAGGAUAGUACAACAUCCUGCUUGGAACCAGGUUUAACCAUGCUUCAGUUUAACAUAUGUCUGCCUAUGUGGAAAGACCCUAGAGCCACAGCUAGAGACAGAUGCAUAACACAGAAAACACAGAAAACUGAAUAAUGUCUGAAUAGACACCUGUAAAAGCCUGAGGUGAGCCCACAGCUGCCUGUGAACAUCUUAUCCCAGCCAAAGGAGGCUGACAGCCAAGGGACCCUUCUUUAAAACAAGAUAUAUUUCUCUCUCUUAAAUCUUCUGCAGAUAGGUGCUGCUUGUUUUGAACACAUGCUGAUGUGAAAAGAAUUGAUAAUCAGGGUUAUUCUAUCCUUUUGGUGAAGGGAAUUCUAGGAAAUGUAGGAAUUCUAAAUUCUAAUUCUAAUUCCUUUAGAAUUCCUGCAAAAAUUUUGUGCAGAAGUACCAAGAUCUGUGCAGAUGGGAUGGUGUAUCAGAGGAGGUUGUGCUUGGGAGAUGAGAUGCUAGCAUAGGAAUAGCACAGGAAGGAAAAUGGUAACAAGAAAACAUCUAUGGAUAUUUGACCAGAAAUUAUGCAAUAUAUUACAGUGGAUAAGUGAAGGAAUAUUUAUGUAUGAAUGGUGGUAUGUAAAUGCCAACCAUUGUCAGAGCAUGUGUGUUGAAGAUUUGCAAGAUAUACUUUGAAAAAUCAAUGAAAAACCAGUGAAUGCUAGCAGUAAUGAGUGCCAACUUUUACAUGUACAGAAAAUGUGGCAAUGUAUACAUAGCUUUGGACGCUGACAAAAUUCAUCAUGGUAUUGUCAGCAUGUGACUCUUGAGAUUCACCAGAUUUUGGACUUCCUCUGUAACACAAACUUUCAACUGCAGUAAUAAUUAUGACAUUGGGUCGACUGCUCCUGGAAAGUUUAUUCUGUAGACAUGUAAUUUGCUAGUUUGGAAGAUUAGGAAGUCAAAAGUAGAGGCAUCUGUAUUUUCUUGCUAAAUCAUCCAUGCCCCAAUGUAAACAUUAUAGAAACACACUCCCAUUCACAAUGUCUACCCUUCCUCUUUAUAUUAGAAAUAAUUGAAAGACGGGACCUUUCUAAGGCUCCAAGAAGCUCAAGGGUGGAAUCUUCAUUUGUUGCCUUCUUCCUUCUCUUCUCUGUUGAAAUGUACCAUUUGUCAAUGUCAUUAUGGCACCCUCCAUGUUUAAAACCUGGGGAAAUGACCCCAUCACACUCUUCCCUGCCAAAAGGGGCCUGAGUUUGCCUUGCUAGACUGCAGACUCAGGCUCCAGUGUCUGCUUCCAACAACACCAAGAUUACAAUGAGCUUAAGAGACUUCUUGGAGCCUUUCAAAUUAUUGUGCUGCAGUGGCCAUUGUAUAGACCCACGGGAGCCCUUCAUUUUAAAAUUCCUAUACCAAAUGUGGCCGUUUCUCUGCAUCUGACUUUUAAGUGUCUCUCUCCAGUUACUUCUAAAUCCUCUUAGCCAGAGAUAGUUCUAUCUUGGGACUCAUAACACUAUUCCUGAAGAAUCAUUUUCAUUUGUUUUGCCCUAGAAAUCCACUGUCCUCCCUUGCCCAUUUUCGCCAGUGGAAAUUAUUUCCUUUAUAGUUUGCAGGUAACUUCCUUAUUGGUUCCCAGGCUCUGUACUUUGAAUCUCAAAUGUUUCCAUUUCCCUUCUCUGGGAAGCUAAAGAGUUCAAUUUGACAGAAUAUAUAGGCCUGCUAUUCUCAUUAUUCUUGUUUCCCCUGUAUUUAAAUUUCUCCAAUGCUGUCGGCUACAGCAAGCUAAUAAUCCUUCUGUGAUUUUUCAGCAUAACAUUUUAGUACUGGCCUUUGUUAGAGAAAUGAAUGUAUUGGGUUACUCUUGAGAGUUAAGUAAAAGGGGAUGGUUUAUCAUCAUAAAGUUUCAGCAAACAGAAAAGCACAUAGUUCCAUUGCACUAUAUUGUUUAAACAGGGUCAGUCUUUCAGCUGAUAUAAACAAUAGUCUUGAAAUAAAAGUGUCAGAGGAGAAUGCACGGAUCUUUAUAGGAUUGCAUUCCAUAGUCCUGAGAAGCGAAAUAUUAAUCAACUGGUAAAAUUCAGCUUCAUGCCUUUUGUUGAAAAAUGAAUAAAGAUGGCAUGUUUUUCUUCUUUUUCCAUCUAGGGGGUGGGGUCUUUCCAAAAUGCUAUUGUGUGACCCGGAUGCUAAUGCAGUACCUUCAAGGUACCUUUCCACACUCUGCUGAAGAACCUCUGCAACCUGCCUAGUUAGCUGAGAUUGAUGAGCACUGCAGCCCAAAACAGCUGGAGCACACCUGGUUGGGGAAUGUUGGCCUAGACUCAGAAUGGGGUGAUGUAGAAGGCUGGUGAAUAUGAUAUGCAAGUAUUUUUGAAAACUGGCCACCCAAAUUAUCCAGAGAGGCAAAUAAGGUUGCAGGUGUGAAAUCUUCAAGUAUGGCAAUUUCUCACAAUCAGUGAGACUGGGCAGAAGUAACCAUUUAGCUUUUCGCUGUUCCUGAAGUGCAAAGUGACCUGCAGUCAUUUAUAUAUUUAUGUUUCUAUUUUUUGAGUUGUAUUUUCUCUUCAUAUCAUCGCCUUAGUUUCUUUAAAAUCUUUUUUUUUGGGGGGGGGGGAAUUUGUUCAAUUAAAUGUGUGAUUUACAAAUAAAUAAAUAAAUAAAACAGCCUGAUAAGCUAGGUGUUUCGAAAAUUAUCUAUAUUAAGCUAGUAUUAAUAGUAGAAAUGCAGGUAAUGUAGCAGGGAAGAGAUAAACUACACUACAACUUAAUCCCUAUUGCUAGCCCUUCAUUGGUGGUUACUUAAAUGGAAUGCUGUAAAUGUUUCCUCAAAUUAAUUAAAAUACCAGUGGAAUGAUACUGGGUUUUUUUUACGAUGGUGGAGUUUCCCCAAGAUCAAAUAAGACUGGUUCAGAUUAAGCAGAAAUGCACACACACAAGUAUACACACACAGAGAGAAAUAGUUUGGUUUAGCUCAGUCUGAGCCCCUUGAAGUCAGUUCAGUUUCCUUCAUGCUCCUAGAGAGCCAGUGUGGUGUUGGGGUUAAGAGUGAUAGACUCGUAAUCUGGGGAACCGGGUUCGCGUCUCCGCUCCUCCACAUGCAGUUGCUGGGUGACCUUGGGCCAGUCACACUUCUCUGAAGUCUCUCAGCCCCACUCACCUCACAGAGUGUUUGUUGUGGGGGAGGAAGGGAAAGGAGAAUGUUAGCCGCUUUGAGACUCCUUUGGGUAGUGAUAAAAUGGGAUAUCAAAUCCAAACUCUUCUUCUUCUUCUUCUUCUCCUCCUCCUCCUCCUCCUCCUAUUCAGGAAUGCAGUGGGGUCUGAUUCCUUACCCCAAUGAGCCUCCAAGUUCCCUCACCUCACCUACCUACAAUCUUAUUUGCCCCCAUUUCUCCAACCUCCCAUGAGCCUCCAACUCCAACUCCAAUCUCCUGCUUGGGUGCUAUUCCAGCAGAGAAAUGGAAUUGAAUUAUUCCCUGGCUCUGAAUAAAAUCUAAGACAGAAAGGGACUAUGGGGGUCAUAAUGCUUGCCUUAUAUCUGAGUGAGUUGUAUGAGUUUUAUCAGGAAGAAAUCCAAGUCUCAUUGAAUUUCUAAUAUACUGAUACAUUUAGGGAAGCAGCAGGGUUAGACUUUCCCUACAAAGUCAGGAUUCCCAUUCAAUAAACUAAAAUAUAGCAUUCCUAUAAAUAGAAUAUUUCAUCACUUGCCAAUGCUGUGUAUCUCUUAAUAUUCACUGGAAUUGUCAACUGUGUCUUUCUUUGGGAGGUCUUGGGGGUCUUCACAUGCAAUUAUUAUUUCUGUUUGUUUAAAUAAUUUUUAACCUGCUCUUCAGCCAAAAACAAGCAAGGCUCCAGAACAAUUUACAAAUAUCAGUAAAAAGACAUUUCCUAGUCUCAGGUUUAAACUUGAAAAGACUCCAUACAAAACGGAAAAGAAAUUGGGACACUGGCUGUUUAUAACAAUACAGUAAUUAUAAUAUAACAAUAUGAUAAUAACCACUAUAUCUCUGAAACCUCUGUGCCUUACACAGAUCAAUUUUUUUUGUCUGAUGAAGAUUCUCUUGGUCAUACAGCUUUGGUAAGAGGACAAACUGCUAACAUUCUGUAUUUUAUGCAAGCGUUAAAUGCAUAAGUGCCUCAAUCUGUUUUGCAUAAUUAUUGUAAUUAGCAGUACAAUCCUAUUCUUGCCCUCUUGGAAUCAAGUCCCUUUCCCCCACCCAGUAAGUGAGUAAAGGAUUGUGGGCUGAGUUCCAAAAACUUUACAGUCAUGUGUGUACUUCCAGUUUUGCAGCUAUUUAUGAUCAAAUGCUAAGUAUCCCAUUUGCAAGCAUCUAUUUAUGCUUCUCUUCUUUAACAUCCAACCGUACAUGGAGGUUUGGACAGUAAACCUAAUUAUAUGAAAUUUUACCUAAUGAAUCGCUUAUAAGUGCUCCUAUUUUUCACAUUUCAUGGCUGACAAAUGAAAAUUAAAAUCUGUAAAAAGUGCAUAAUGAAAUGUUAAACCCAUAAAUACUCAACGCGCACACAGCUACUAUAAUCUGAAAAAUGUUUUCAAUAGCACAAUUUCCCUGGGCAUGACACUAAUUGCUUGCUGUUGUGGCUGUUUGGUUUUAUUCAAAGGAGUAAAAUGAUGAAAAUGAAACUUUCAGUCAGUAUUUGCAAAAAUAUGUGUGCACUCUCACUUUUGCCAAUUGCAGAAAUUCUCUAAAAAGAGUGAAGCAAACAGAUCUCACUUUGUUUAGUGUUCUAUUCAUUCUUCAGGCAAAUGCUAACCACUAUUCCACUGAACAAUGAAAUCUUUGCAUUCAAAAAUGUAGUUGUGACUUCCAUUUAUGAACAAGAACAUUAUUGCAAGACCUGCACCAGAACAACAAUAUAAAAUACAACUUAAAAUGAAAUAAAAUCACAACUAAUGUGGGUCCUAAAAUAUAUAUAACUCAGGUGACAAAGAACAAGGUAAAGACAAAAGCUGAAUAAUGAAGGUGCCAAGUAUGAGGGAAUUCUGCACCUUGUAGAGAAGUAUGCCUUCUCAUGGCUCCCACCACCCAGACACCUGAGGAUGGUGGAACUAACAAGAACCCGCCCCUCUGCUGAUCUUAUCAUCUGAGGUCUGUAAGAAAUAAGGUACUCUUUCAAAUGUUUGGAGUUUAAGUGAUUUGGGUUUUUAAACACCUAGUGUGAACAUCUCAAAUGUUUUCAAAUAGGUAAAGGUAAAAGGUAAAGAACCCCUGGACAGUUAAGACUAUGGGGUUGCGUCGCUCAUCUUGCUUUCAGGCCAAUGGAGCCGGCGUUUGUCCACAGACAGCUUUCCGGGCCAUGUGGCCUGUAUGACUAAACUGCUUCUGGUGCAUGGGACACCAUGAAGAAAGCCAGAGUGCACAAAAAUGCCGUUUACCUUCCUACUGGCAUGCUUUUGAACUGCAAGGUUGGCAGAAGCUGGGACAGAACAAUGGGAGCUCAUCCCAUCGCGGGAAUUCAAACCGCCGACCUUCUGAUCGGCAAGCCCAAGAGGCUCAGUGGUUUAAACCACAGUGCCACCCACAUCCCAAUAGUGGGUAUAUGAGUUCAAAGGGAACCCCAGCUACUAAUCUGACCGCUGCAUUUUUGGCCAGUUGAAGUUUACGACAUGUCUUCGAGGGCAGCUCUAGUGUAUGGCAAUAAUCUGAUCUGGAAGGUAUCAGAGCAUAGAGUAACAGGACCAAGACAUCUCUGUCUCAAAGUGGCCAUAGCUAGCAAAACUGGAAAUAAGCACUCCUAGCCACUGAGGCCACUCCAAUCCCAUCCAGGACAGGCUGUCUCCACAUCGCCUGGACUCAAAAGCUUGGUUGUUAUGUUUCCUUGUGUCCUUGCAUUUAGCAUUUAUCUUUCGGUCAUAUAAAAUGACCUAUGAUUAAGUCCCAUUGAACUCAGUGAAUUUUACUUCUACACAUGAAUAGGACUGCACCGUCCCAUCCCUAGAGAAGGGACUGCACAUCUGGAACCAUGUAAAUCUCUCACUUUGUUAUUGAUGGCCAAUUCAAACAUGCAUUUACAUCUCCAGUGAGUUCCAGCUCUUCUCAAAAUAAUGUUAAAGCUCUGGUGCUUGUUCUGUGUCAUUGGGCAAAUGGUGAUUGAAAACUGCAAUAAUCAAGCUAAAUCUGCAACUGACUAGUAGCAGCUUAUAUACCUAGCAUUGUUGUGGAUGUCACUGUGUGUUGUGAAUUGUCACUAGAUGUUCUAGGUGCUGAUCAUCAAGAAACCUGCUACCAAAUGAAACAUCCUUAUUCAGCUGCAUAUGUUGAGACCUGUGGGUGCCUGUUAUGGUCAUUGUUAAAUGCUAUUUUAUUAAUCAUAAGUGAUCGCAUCUCAGCAGCGUACACAAGACUAGGUCAGAUAACUUCGCAUUAGCCUGUUUUAUAUUAUUUCACCUCCUUCUGUGGUUACAGACCUGUUUUAUUCUGAACUAUUCAAGUCAUAACCACACAGAGUUUUUGUUAAAGGCCAAAACUGGACAUCAAAUCAGGUGAAUUGGAAAACGUUUUAAGAAAAACCACUAAAAUCAAUGUAUUUAUCACCAUCUAGGUUGGUACACUACAUUUUGCCCUUUUUCAAAAUGCCAAGGCCUUAAAUGUAAUUGCUGUGAAUGAAUAUUUUUUUAAAAAAUGAUAUUUAUUAAGAUUUCAAAAAGAAGGAUUACAUAAGUAAAGGAGAAACAAAAACAAAAACAAAACAAAAGACAACAGUAAAAAUACAAGAAAAAUACAAAAUACAAAGUACAGAAAAAAAAGAAUAAAAAACACUUAAAAAUACAUCAGUUUUUCCAUGCCUUACAUUCAUUUGCUGUGAAUGAAUAUUAUACAUGACAGUAUUUACUAGCAAUAUUUUUUAAUGUUGGUUAUGAAGAAAAUGAAUAGAAAAUCCUAGCGCAAAUAAUAAAUUGCCUACUGUAUAUAAGCCAGAAUUAUGGACAAAACAGGAAGAUACCUCUUGAAAUAAUGCUAUGCUUCUAAUUGACUUCUCUUUUUUCAGAUUUCAUUUUGAAUUUCACAGAGAACACACAAUUCUUCUAAGAAACUAAACAUGUCAGCAAACUUCACUGCUAGGCAAAAUGGCUUAAUUCUAGUGUCUACUUUGUUCUGUCCCAUUGCUCUUGUGUGUGGUUUUUUGUUCUAAAAGUACACUAUAAAAAUCCUGAUCCAAAAAGACAUUUCUAAAUCCACUUUUCAAUGAGGACUGUUGAAAAUUAGCUUCAGAAUUGCACCCUUUGAUUAUGGCUUUAUUAAUGUGGCCACUGAUUGCUUAAAGUGUAUCAAAGAACAAUGUUUCUUAUAUUGUUGGUUUAUUUCUAUCUCUAAGAGGAGUGAUGCUUCUUCUAAUGGAACAUGUGUAGCCAAAUACAGCAUGUAUUUGUGCUGGUUGAACUUUUUGAGAGGUCUUUUCCUGCGCAGAAAGAUAAAUAAAUUGAGCAUUGGAAAUGGAAAUGGCUUUCUUCCUGGCUUUUAGCUUAUUUAGGACUUGGUCAUCUUGAGAACGUUACUGGUAGUUGCUUAAUUUGUACACAGCAUAAUAUAUUCAGGGAGAUGGCUUUUCUGUUCUUAAAUAUUCUGGUCACAGCUGCCUUGUAGUUGUCUACCUUAUAUAAAUUUCAGCCUGCCUCAGUUGAAAAUACAUAUUUGAGAACUGAAUGACCCGUUCGAUUGCCUAACACAUCUUCCUGCCGUAAUUUAAGUCUGCACUUGACCAUCAUCAUUUUUGAAAAUAGACCUUUUCUAAUCAUUAGAUUUCAAGCAUAGGUGUGUGUGUGAUGAUCAUAAAGUAUGAUUAUGGCAAUUUCCAUGCUGGACCUCAUUACUCUGCAAAAAAAUCAAUAGCCAGUGCCAUUUGAAUUUGCUGACUUCAGGUGUAAACUGUACCUCUUUAAUGAGAUGGAGCUUUCUCUUUGAGACCUAAAGCUCACAACAAGACAACAAUGGGUUGGAUACAGACUUAGUCCUGCUUAUAGUAAAUCUAUUGAAAUCAGUGGGAUUUUACAGAUUGGAAACUCAUGCUGAGAAAAAGUGGAAUGCCUAAGGCCAUCACACUAGACUGUGAAUAAGCUGAACAGAAAGCUAAAACUAAACUUCCUCACUUGGUAUCCAUCAGGAUAGGAGUUGUAGCCCAAAAUUUCUGGAUGGCACCAGUUUGAGGAAGGCUACAUUGAACCAUAUUCUGUGUGUUAUGAGGACAAAAGCGAAACCACACAUUGCAUACUUUCUUCUUGCUCCGCCCCCCAUGUGGCCGUACGAAAGAAAUGGAAAUUUCUGCUUCCAUUUUAGACAGUUUUGGGUUACCUCUCGGCCCUUAACUGUGGUUUAUCAUAACCACAGCUGGGUGAAACCAUCUUCUUAAUAUAUGGUUUGAAGUAGACUUCUUUCCACUAACCAUACCUAAAAAAUUAAUUGUAGCUUGUCUGGGUCCAGAUGACACAGCAAGCUGUGGUUAAUCUAAGAUGUAAUGAAAACUUUUGAACUCCUUCCAUGACUUAGCUGCUAGAAUACAGCAUUACAUCCAAACUGGACUUUUGUCUAAGGGUGGCGGUUUCUAUAUAUAUAUUCUGUUUGGCAUGGAUUUUACAGCAGCAACAACAAAAGGGGCUGCAGCAGCCCUUCUCGGUCCUUGAAAGCUGAAUUCUGAUUGAAGGAUUGUAUGAAAUCUCCUUUCAUACUUGUGACUGUAAAAUGUGUAUCCUGCAUCCAUGGUGGAUCUCUGCUAAUAGCGGUCCAGGGAAAGCAAUCUUGUCUAAUUUGGGAGCACUGGUGGAAGAAGGCUUUGAAUUCUUCUCCGGAACCCCAGAUUCAGCCAAGAUUCCUGUAUUCACAUUGCUCAUAGAAGCACAGAGAAAGCAUUUUGUGUUUUAAUGGAGAGAAGGAUGGUUGGGUGCAGGACAACAGAGGCAUUCAUGGUCAGUUCCAGUACCUCUUUUUCUGGAAAAAUAGCACUGGUUGGGUGUGGUUCCUGAACAUCUAUGCCCCCAUUUAAUCAUGUCUCUCGCCCACGAAACAGCUGUCCUCUGAGGAACAUUGACCUGGUGCAUCUGUCUCCCCAUUUAAAUCAGGGUGGGUGGGUGGGUGGGUGGGUGCGUGCACACAUGUAUAAAGGAGGGGUGUGUGCAUUUGUGUGUGAGAGAGUGGAUGUGUGUGCUUGGAUAUGCAUAUACCUGGCUCUGGCUAGCAUGUGGUUCCUGAACCUCCUACCAACCCCAUUUUGCCAUCAGUGCCAAAAAUGUGGGAAACUCCUACUUUAGGGAAGGCGUCAGAACCACCCCCUGCCCCACAUGAACUGGGUCCCAGAACUUGUGUGCGUACAGCUUCCUAGUUGUAUGUUACUCUUGAUUUACAUGAUAUUGUUUUAACAUUUAAGGGGAUCCAGCGCCAAGGGCCUUCUGGCGGUUCCCUCAUUGCGAGAAGUGAGGUUACAGGGGACCAGACAGAGGGCCUUCUCGGUAGUGGCGCCCGCCCUGUGGAACACCCUCCCUUCAGAUGUCAAGGAAAUAAGCACCUAUCCUAUCUUUAAAAGACAUCUGAAGGCUGUCCUGUUUAGGUAAGUUGUUAAUAUUUAAUGCUGUAUUGUUUUUAACACUCGACUGGGAGCUGCCCAGAGUGGCUGGGGAGACUCAGCCGGAUGGGCGGGGUAUAAAUAAAUUAUUAUUAUUAUUAUUAUUAUUAUUAUUAUUAUUAUUAUUACAUUUCAAAUACAUUCUAGUAAAUCAGUAAAUCACAUAACACUGGUCUUGAAAGACCUACAUUGGCUCCCAGUAUAUUUCCGAGCACAAUUCAAAGUGUUGGUGCUGACCUUUAAAGCCCUAAACAGCCUCGGUCCAGUAUACCUGAAGGAAGAUCUCCAUCCCCAUCAUUCUCCCCAGACACUGAGGUCCAGUGCCGAGGGCCUUCUGGCGGUUCCCUCACUGCGAGAAGCCAAGUUACAGGGAACCAGGCAGAGGGCCUUCUGGGUAGUGGUACCCUCCCUGUGGAACGCCCUCCCACUAGAUGUCAAAGAGAAAAACAACUACCAGACUUUUAGAAGACAUCUGAAGGCAGCCCUGUUUAGGGAAGCUUUUAAUGUUUAAUAGACUAUUGUAUUUUAAUAUUCUGUUGGAAGCCGCCCAGAGUGGCUGGGGAAACCCAGCCACAUGGGCGGGGUAUAAAUAAAUUAUUCUUAUUCUUAUUCUUAUUCUUUGUUCAUUCCUAAAGGUUAUCCCCCUUCUGUGAUAUCCUUCUUCCUUUUCUGAUUCUCUAUGGAGUAAUUCUACACAUGCAUUCCUUUGAUUCUACAAAUAAGAAGUUGUGGUCAUAAAAUGUAUUACAUAUAUAACAAACUAUUUACUUAAGGGCCAAUUGUUUGUUUACUGACUGUGAACUUGUACGUGAAACUGUUAAUCCUGGGAUGCUCUAGUAAAUAAAACAGAUCUGAAAAUAAACAGAUUUUAAUGAAUAAAUCUAUAACGUUUCAGGAAUUACUGUGGAUUCAAAGCUUUUUACGAGGCACUG
Podarcis lilfordi (Lilford's wall lizard) is the source of this 15186-nucleotide non-coding RNA. The record is from the annotation of a GenBank genome assembly. Lineage: Eukaryota; Metazoa; Chordata; Lepidosauria; Squamata; Lacertidae.